UACGUAGGGGGCUAGCGUUGUCCGGAUUUAUUGGGCGUAAAGGGCCAGUAGGCGGCCAACUAAGUCGGAUGUGAAAUCCCCAGGCUCAACUUGGGAACUGCAUCCGAUACUGGAUGGCUUGAAUCCGGGAGAGGGAUGCGGAAUUCCAGGUGUAGCGGUGAAAUGCGUAGAUAUCUGGAGGAACACCGGUGGCGAAGGCGGCAUCCUGGACCGGCAUUGACGCUAAAGCGCGAAAGCCAGGGGAGCAAACGGG
RNAcentral lists this ribosomal RNA (253 nucleotides) under uncultured bacterium. RNAcentral describes it as "partial 16S ribosomal RNA". It matches the Rfam family "Bacterial small subunit ribosomal RNA", at positions 524 to 776 of the family's 1533-position model. The record is from RNAcentral.